GGACUGCAGCGAGGCAGCGGCGCAGGAGGCAAGCACCAGCAGACAGCGCGCGCCGCCACCGACUGCUCCGGCCGUGACCAGCUCCGGCGGCAAGAUGCGCUUGUUGGUGCUACUGUGUGUGGUGACGACCGCCCUGGCGGUUCCGUCCAUGUACUCCAAGGAUGACCACGUCUACAGGCUGGAUCUGGUGCCCUGUAUCGUCAACCGGUGAUUCCUCUGGAGGACCUGGAGUACACCUGUUGGCGUCGGCUUCGGCGUUCACGACGCUAAAGGAUCCAAGUACUACUCUAAAAAUAGCAAGCCAUCGGAGCUUAUCACCGCAGGUGAGAAACGGAAGAAGACCGCGAAUAACAACGCCCGGGUCAAGCAGCUGACGAAGGCAGAUUUUGAGCGCUUCUAAGGCGGCAGUUUCAUGGAUAAGUUCUGGGUUCCGGUCCAAGAGCGUCUUCAGUGGCUCAGCGGUCUACUGUACCUGAUAUCGUGACCUGCCCGGGUUUGACCGCGUCCUGACCUGGCGACCUGAUGCGGGAGGAGCUCCGCUCUGACCUGCUGAUGUUGUGCGACAAGGCAGCUUGGGAGAGCGCCCACGCAGCUAGUAGCUUAGGAUCGUUAAACUGCGGUGUGUUGCAGCGGUGAUGACGCUUGUCCGCCGCUCUCGGACAUCACGUUUGCUGUCUGAGUGGCAGGUCAUGGUCCACGUUAUUAAUCAACCAGUAAUUUGGUAGGAUAAAGACAAAGACGUGGGAGGUACGGAUGCCCAGGUAGUGAUCGAUACCAUGAUAAGGCAGCGUACCGACACGGUUGGACCGCGUAAUAGGGCAUGCUAAGCCAUGGAGAUAGCUCACAAAUAACACCUGCACCUAAUAUAUCUUCUAUAAAGGACUGAACCAUGCGCCGAGCAUCGGUACUUCAUUAGUCGUGGUUAACUUACACCUGUGCUUUGUACUUGCGCACGUAUUAAUGUAUGUGUUUGUGAGUCAGGCGUGUUUCCUAACUGACACGCCUGUUGUUUGUCGUCAAACAAUGAAGCGACAUGGGUACAUUAACACUAAACUUCAAGCUUUGCUACGUACACGAUAAGUUACCAAAAUUUAGUUUUUACAUGCACUGUAUUAACUGUUUCAUCGUAGAACGCAUGACCCUUCAUUGGGAAUACGACUCACACUAGGAUGUGCCUCGUGGGCAUGCAAAUGAUCUUUGACGCAGUGCUGUGAUAGCGAUGUGGUUUUGUAAUGCGACCAAUUUAUGAAAAUAAAUAUAUUAACCCAG
Pollicipes pollicipes is the source of this 1269-nucleotide long non-coding RNA. RefSeq lists it as uncharacterized. The record is from RefSeq and is a predicted model, not a curated record. The transcript has 3 exons. NCBI's taxonomy places the organism in Eukaryota, Metazoa, Arthropoda, Thecostraca, Pollicipedomorpha, Pollicipedidae.